Molecule: non-coding RNA, 113 nt
Organism: Acanthosepion pharaonis
Lineage: Eukaryota; Metazoa; Mollusca; Cephalopoda; Sepiida; Sepiidae
Source: the annotation of a GenBank genome assembly
UUACGGCCCUAGAGCAUUGAAAUACCGCUUCCCGUACGAUCACCGAAGUAAAGCAAAGUCGAACCAGGUCAGUACCUAGAGAGAUGACCGCUUAGGAAUACCAUGUGCUGUAA